CUCUUUGCAGAGCUUAUUAUCAUGCAGAUCACUGGCUGGAAACUGGAUGUAAUUUCCAUCCUUCACGUCCUUCUGGGAUGUGUUCCAGAACCAGUCUGGGAUCUUGUCUUGGCUGGGAUUGUGCAUGAUGGUGAUCACAAGUUCCAUUUCAUCCUUAAGGACCUCUCUUUGGGAGUCAGUGUCUAUAUUCCUCAGGACCAAGAUAAAAGAAAUCAUCGACCUAGAGACUGUUGUACAGAGUGAAAUAUGUUCUCAGUAUCAGUGGAAGAAUAACAGGUAAAGCAGAAUUGUAUCACAUGUGUCUUGUAAUAUUGAGCUGGGAAGUGUUUAGAGAGUUCAUUUGGUCCAACCCUCUGUGUCCAAUCAGAUGGCUACUCCAAAAACUACAGGUACUGCUUGAAAUCAGUGGUUCCCAUCUACUUUCACCAGCUCUUUCUUUUAUGUAAAAACAAACAACCAAACAAAAAAGGAAGGUCUGUUUUUCAUCAUGAAUCUUAGAAUUUAUUCAAAGAAAAGUUAUCUCAAACAGUACAUAUUUCAGACUCAGUUUUAAGUCAUUUUUUAUUUUUAUUUUUUCUAGUUCUAAUAACAAUACUAAGAAAGGGAUCAGGUAAUCAGCAAUGCUCUAACAUUUUCCCAACAGCUAUUAAUUUAGCUUUACAUGUAUUUAAAAAAAAUGGUUGAUUUAAAGGGGGAUUCGUUUGAAUUAAAAGCACUGAAAAAAAAAAAAAAUUGCAAAAGAAAAUCCUAGUGGUGUUCAUUCAGCCACCAUCCAGAGAAGGAGUGUUGUUUACCAGACCUAAUAUAUUCAGAUCACAUUGGGCAUGGCGUAUCUAUUCUGAGAUCUAUGUAUCAGGAAGACUUAGCUUGCAUACAUUAAACUUGAAAUUCAAUUGGCCGCUGAUUUAACACUCAUCAGAAAAUUUCUUUGAUCAUUUGGACUUCCAUGAAGCUCUGCUUACAAAGAGAAAGUAACUUUGCGUUGGACAGACCAUAAAACACAUGAUCAGAGUCAUAUCUAAUGUUUUCUUCUGAGAGAGCACAGCCUCUAGAAAUUCUUGUGCGUAGGAAAAGGGUGAAGCCAAUUCGGUUCUCUAAUUGCAAGUGAUGGCCCUAAGGAGCUGCACCUGGGCCACGCAUGCGCAGACAUAGCCGGGAGCCAGGUAACGAAAACUACCGGGAGAGGGUUCAGUCUCUUUGAGAGGGCAUGCCUCUGAGAUGCUUCUGGAGUGAGUGAGUCGUCAGCGUUGUUGGCGGAUCCUAUGGGUGAGGAGCCAUGCUUCUACCAACUUUGGGGGCUUUUCAGUCUUAGAAGCCCUUUCACAAUUGAGAUUCUCCAUUUUUAAAGCCCCAGAGGCAAUCUGCAAAGGUAAGGAUCCUCAUUGAUUUCUGAUGUGUGUUGUAUAUCUGCAAGAGACCUAGAUUCUAUGCCUUGUUUCAGAUUUGAGAUUUUACACUUUUGUAUCUUAUUAAUGGCAGGGGAGGGGAUGUUUGUUGGAGGAAUGUUUGCCGUUAAUGAAGGUGGAUUGGCUGGGAAUUUCUAAGUGGAUCUGAUUGGAUUCUCUGAUGAAUAGGUGACGUUUCACCUCUACACCUAUAGUUCUCCCACUAAGACAUGUGCUUUUUGUUUGGACAUAUGGCCACACUCAGGAUUUUUCUGGGUUUUGCUUAUUUUUAUUUAUAUCCUGGUGGAGUUAAUUAUCUCCAGGGAAUACCUGUGGUGUGUUCAAUGGAAAGCUAGAGAGUGGCUCUGGAGAUAAUGUGUUUAAUUAAACUAAAAAUUCUCCAGCACCUGUCUAUGGAAGCUGGUGCUGCAGAAUGCUUGUUCCUGAAACAAAUCAGGGAUACAUUUCAAUCUGUGUCCACCAGAGCCUGUACAUUAUGGUUAAUUCUUUUCAGUGUACCGUACUGGGGUCGAUGUGGGUGGAAAGGUAGAGGGAAGGCCAAGAAGGAAAAAAAAAGAACACACAAAUCUGAAUAAUAUAUUCACGUCUAUAAUAUGUAAAACUUAAGAUGUGCCAGAAAUGGCUGAUAAAUUGACAGAUUUUUCAAAUGCCUCUUCUGCGUGUAACAAUUAUGUGUUCUUAAUACAUUUUUUGUUGAUGCAAAGAACUAUAGUGAUAGAUAUCUUGAUCUCACGCUUGCAACUGGAAAUAAAUUCUACAUGUUCAUAUUGUAUCCUUUGAAACUAUAAUUGUUUGGGUCUAAUGGAUGCUAUGGUGUGCUGCUCAA
Molecule: long non-coding RNA, 2232 nt
Filed under: Bos grunniens (domestic yak)
Lineage: Eukaryota; Metazoa; Chordata; Mammalia; Artiodactyla; Bovidae
Description: lncRNA (ENSBGRG00000004260.1)
Source: RNAcentral